This is a long non-coding RNA of Oncorhynchus tshawytscha (Chinook salmon), 314 nucleotides long. NCBI's taxonomy places the organism in Eukaryota, Metazoa, Chordata, Actinopteri, Salmoniformes, Salmonidae. The record is from Ensembl.
CACCACAGAGAGACAGACAGGUGUAAUCAGUAACCCACCACAGAGAGACAGACAGGUGUAAUCAGUCACCCACCACAGACAGACAGACAGGUGUAAUCAGUAACCCAACACAGACAGACAGACAGGUGUAAUCAGUAACCCACCACAGAGAGACAGACAGGUGUAAUCAGUAACCCACCACAGACAGACAGACGGACAGGUGUAAUCAGUAACCCACCACAGAGAGACAGACAAGUGUAAUCAGUAACCCACCACAGACAGACAGGUGUAAUCAGUAACCCACCACAGAGAGACAGACAGGUGUAAUCAGUAAC